GGGUUAGUCAGGACCUAAGGCGAGGCUGAAAAGCGUAGUCGAUGGACAACAGGUUAAUAUUCCUGUACUUUCUUUAAUUGUGAUGGAGUGACGGAGAAGGAUAAGCAUACCUAUUAUUGGAUUUAGGGGUAAGUAGUUACUGGUGAUUGUAGGCAAAUCCGCAAUCUAUAACUGGGAGCUAUGAUGCAUAGGACUUUUGUCUGAAUUUGCCAAUUCCAUGCUUCCUAGAAAAGUUUCUAAACUUAAUUUUAUUGAAACCUGUACCAAGAACGGACACACGUCCCCAAGAUGAGUAUUCUAAGGCGAGCGAGAAAACUAGUGUUAAGGAACUCUGCAAAAUGACCCCGUAAGUUCGCAAGAAGGGGCGCCUAUGGUAACACAUAGGCCACAGUAAAUUAUGAGGGGCAACUGUUUAUCAAAAACACAACUCUCUGCUAAACCGCAAGGUGAUGUAUAGGGGGUGAAGCCUGCCCAGUGCCCGAAGGUUAAGUGGAUGCGUUAGCUUAUGCGAAGCGUUGAAAUGAAGCCCGGGUGAACGGCGGCCGUAACUAUAACGGUCCUAAGGUAGCGAAAUUCCUUGUCGGCUAAAUACUGACCUGCACGAAAGGCAUAAUGAUCUCUCAACUGUCUCAACACUAGACUCGGUGAAAUUAUGGUCCCAGUGAAAACGCUGGGUUCCCGCAUCAAGACGAAAAGACCCCAUGGAGCUUUACUAUAACUUCGUAUUGGAAUUUGGCCUAACAUGUGUAGGAUAGGUGGGAGACUUUGAAGCUGAGACGCCAGUAGCAGUGGAGUCAACCUUGAAAUACCACCCUUGUUAUGUUGAAUUUCUAACUUACCAUCAUAAUCAGGUGGGAGGACAGUGCGUGGUGGGUAGUUUGACUGGGGCGGUCGCCUCCUAAAGAGUAACGGAGGCGUUCAAAGGUACACUCAGUACGGUCAGAAACCGUAUGUAGAGCGCAAAGGCAGAAGUGUGCUUGACUGUGAGACAUACAAGUCGAGCAGGUGCGAAAGCAGGACUUAGUGAUCCGGCUGUACAUUGUGGAAUGGCAGUCGCUCAACGGAUAAAAGUUACCCUGGGGAUAACAGGCUAAUCUUGCCCAAGAGAUCACAUCGACGGCAAGGUUUGGCACCUCGAUGUCGGCUCAUCGCAUCCUGGAGCUGGAGUCGGUUCCAAGGGUUGGGCUGUUCGCCCAUUAAAGCGGUACGCGAGCUGGGUUCAAAACGUCGUGAGACAGUUUGGUCCCUAUCUGAUGUGGGCGUUGGAAUAUUGAUGAGAGCCGCUCUUAGUACGAGAGGACCGGAGUGGACGUACCGCUGGUGUUCCAGUUGUUCCGCCAGGAGCAUGGCUGGGUAGCUAAGUACGGAAAGGAUAACCGCUGAAAGCAUCUAAGUGGGAAGCCUCCUCAGAGAUUAGUAUUCCCUUGAAAUUCCUUAUAGACUAUGAGGUUGAUAGGCUGGAUGUGUAAGCACAGUAAUGUGUUGAGCUGACCAGUACUAAUAAAUUGAAAGGUUUAAAAG
This 1521-nucleotide ribosomal RNA is filed under the name Mycoplasmopsis bovis. Its description in RNAcentral is "partial 23S ribosomal RNA". It matches the Rfam family "Bacterial large subunit ribosomal RNA", at positions 1377 to 2925 of the family's 2925-position model. Lineage: Bacteria; Bacillati; Mycoplasmatota; Mycoplasmoidales; Metamycoplasmataceae. The record is from RNAcentral.